UGUUAAAAAUUUCAUCUAUUUCUACUGUUAAAAGUUGGUGUAGUUGACAAAAUAAUCAGACAAUUACACGUGACACAUCACUUGUACCUCAUCAUGUACAAGGACCAAUUUUUAACGAGAGAAAUGGAUGGAAUUUUUAACA
This is a non-coding RNA of Gossypium arboreum, 142 nucleotides long. The record is from Rfam. Lineage: Eukaryota; Viridiplantae; Streptophyta; Magnoliopsida; Malvales; Malvaceae.